This 623-nucleotide long non-coding RNA is filed under the name Homo sapiens (human). Its description in RNAcentral is "HSALNT0211074". The record is from RNAcentral. Lineage: Eukaryota; Metazoa; Chordata; Mammalia; Primates; Hominidae.
AUUUCAGUUUUCUUUAGGGCAACAUAUAUUUGAAUUUAAAAGCACUUUAUUUAAAAAAAAAAGAAGUUUUCAGUUCUGAAGAAGUCAUUUACAGUUUGCAUCAUUUUAAUUAUGAGUCUGACAAAACCUUCUCCAGAGAAUCAAGCAAGACCUGGAUGUGAAGAAGGUUUGGGUAAACUGCAUGUAAAGGCUACAAAUCACAAUCUGAUUCCUCCCAAAUAUAAAGGCAUAUGGAACAUAAUGUAUUAACCAAAGUAUGUUAUAAAUCAAAAAUGGUCAAGGUUCAGCAUAUUCUAUAUGAAGAUCACAAGGACAUAAUUUAAAAAUAUACUGGAUUUUGGCCAGGUGUGGCAGCUCAUGCCUGUAAUCCCAGCACUUUGGGAGGCCAAGCAGGGAAGAUUACUUGAGCCCAAGAGUUGAAAACCAACCUGGACAACAUGGUGAAACCCAGACUCUACAAAAAAUGCAAAGAUUAGCUGGGUGUGUUGGCAGACGCCUGUGGUCCCAGCUACUCAGGAGGCUGAGGUCGGUAGGACUGCAUGAUUCCGGGAGGUCAAGGCUUCAGUGAGCCAAGAUUGCACCACUGCACUCCACCUUGGGUGACAGAGCUGGACACUGUAUCC